GGGUUGUGAGGUUAAGCGACUAAGCGUACACGGUGGAUGCCCUGGCAGUCAGAGGCGAUGAAGGACGUGCUAAUCUGCGAUAAGCGUCGGUAAGGUGAUAUGAACCGUUAUAACCGGCGAUUUCCGAAUGGGGAAACCCAGUGUGUUUCGACACACUAUCAUUAACUGAAUCCAUAGGUUAAUGAGGCGAACCGGGGGAACUGAAACAUCUAAGUACCCCGAGGAAAAGAAAUCAACCGAGAUUCCCCCAGUAGCGGCGAGCGAACGGGGAGCAGCCCAGAGCCUGAAUCAGUGUGUGUGUUAGUGGAAGCGUCUGGAAAGGCGCGCGAUACAGGGUGACAGCCCCGUACACAAAAAUGCACAUGCUGUGAGCUCGAUGAGUAGGGCGGGACACGUGGUAUCCUGUCUGAAUAUGGGGGGACCAUCCUCCAAGGCUAAAUACUCCUGACUGACCGAUAGUGAACCAGUACCGUGAGGGAAAGGCGAAAAGAACCCCGGCGAGGGGAGUGAAAAAGAACCUGAAACCGUGUACGUACAAGCAGUGGGAGCACGCUUAGGCGUGUGACUGCGUACCUUUUGUAUAAUGGGUCAGCGACUUAUAUUCUGUAGCAAGGUUAACCGAAUAGGGGAGCCGAAGGGAAACCGAGUCUUAACUGGGCGUUAAGUUGCAGGGUAUAGACCCGAAACCCGGUGAUCUAGCCAUGGGCAGGUUGAAGGUUGGGUAACACUAACUGGAGGACCGAACCGACUAAUGUUGAAAAAUUAGCGGAUGACUUGUGGCUGGGGGUGAAAGGCCAAUCAAACCGGGAGAUAGCUGGUUCUCCCCGAAAGCUAUUUAGGUAGCGCCUCGUGAAUUCAUCUCCGGGGGUAGAGCACUGUUUCGGCAAGGGGGUCAUCCCGACUUACCAACCCGAUGCAAACUGCGAAUACCGGAGAAUGUUAUCACGGGAGACACACGGCGGGUGCUAACGUCCGUCGUGAAGAGGGAAACAACCCAGACCGCCAGCUAAGGUCCCAAAGUCAUGGUUAAGUGGGAAACGAUGUGGGAAGGCCCAGACAGCCAGGAUGUUGGCUUAGAAGCAGCCAUCAUUUAAAGAAAGCGUAAUAGCUCACUGGUCGAGUCGGCCUGCGCGGAAGAUGUAACGGGGCUAAACCAUGCACCGAAGCUGCGGCAGCGACGCUUAUGCGUUGUUGGGUAGGGGAGCGUUCUGUAAGCCUGCGAAGGUGUGCUGUGAGGCAUGCUGGAGGUAUCAGAAGUGCGAAUGCUGACAUAAGUAACGAUAAAGCGGGUGAAAAGCCCGCUCGCCGGAAGACCAAGGGUUCCUGUCCAACGUUAAUCGGGGCAGGGUGAGUCGACCCCUAAGGCGAGGCCGAAAGGCGUAGUCGAUGGGAAACAGGUUAAUAUUCCUGUACUUGGUGUUACUGCGAAGGGGGGACGGAGAAGGCUAUGUUGGCCGGGCGACGGUUGUCCCGGUUUAAGCGUGUAGGCUGGUUUUCCAGGCAAAUCCGGAAAAUCAAGGCUGAGGCGUGAUGACGAGGUACUACGGUGCUGAAGCAACAAAUGCCCUGCUUCCAGGAAAAGCCUCUAAGCAUCAGGUAACAUCAAAUCGUACCCCAAACCGACACAGGUGGUCAGGUAGAGAAUACCAAGGCGCUUGAGAGAACUCGGGUGAAGGAACUAGGCAAAAUGGUGCCGUAACUUCGGGAGAAGGCACGCUGAUAUGUAGGUGAAGUCCCUUGCGGAUGGAGCUGAAAUCAGUCGAAGAUACCAGCUGGCUGCAACUGUUUAUUAAAAACACAGCACUGUGCAAACACGAAAGUGGACGUAUACGGUGUGACGCCUGCCCGGUGCCGGAAGGUUAAUUGAUGGGGUCAGCGCAAGCGAAGCUCUUGAUCGAAGCCCCGGUAAACGGCGGCCGUAACUAUAACGGUCCUAAGGUAGCGAAAUUCCUUGUCGGGUAAGUUCCGACCUGCACGAAUGGCGUAAUGAUGGCCAGGCUGUCUCCACCCGAGACUCAGUGAAAUUGAACUCGCUGUGAAGAUGCAGUGUACCCGCGGCAAGACGGAAAGACCCCGUGAACCUUUACUAUAGCUUGACACUGAACAUUGAGCCUUGAUGUGUAGGAUAGGUGGGAGGCUUUGAAGUGUGGACGCCAGUCUGCAUGGAGCCGACCUUGAAAUACCACCCUUUAAUGUUUGAUGUUCUAACGUUGACCCGUGAUCCGGGUUGCGGACAGUGUCUGGUGGGUAGUUUGACUGGGGCGGUCUCCUCCUAAAGAGUAACGGAGGAGCACGAAGGUUGGCUAAUCCUGGUCGGACAUCAGGAGGUUAGUGCAAUGGCAUAAGCCAGCUUGACUGCGAGCGUGACGGCGCGAGCAGGUGCGAAAGCAGGUCAUAGUGAUCCGGUGGUUCUGAAUGGAAGGGCCAUCGCUCAACGGAUAAAAGGUACUCCGGGGAUAACAGGCUGAUACCGCCCAAGAGUUCAUAUCGACGGCGGUGUUUGGCACCUCGAUGUCGGCUCAUCACAUCCUGGGGCUGAAGUAGGUCCCAAGGGUAUGGCUGUUCGCCAUUUAAAGUGGUACGCGAGCUGGGUUUAGAACGUCGUGAGACAGUUCGGUCCCUAUCUGCCGUGGGCGCUGGAGAACUGAGGGGGGCUGCUCCUAGUACGAGAGGACCGGAGUGGACGCAUCACUGGUGUUCGGGUUGUCAUGCCAAUGGCACUGCCCGGUAGCUAAAUGCGGAAGAGAUAAGUGCUGAAAGCAUCUAAGCACGAAACUUGCCCCGAGAUGAGUUCUCCCUGACUCCUUGAGAGUCCUGAAGGAACGUUGAAGACGACGACGUUGAUAGGCCGGGUGUGUAAGCGCAGCGAUGCGUUGAGCUAACCGGUACUAAUGAACCGUGAGGCUUAACCUUACAACGCCGAAGCUGUU
RNAcentral lists this ribosomal RNA (2930 nucleotides) under Escherichia coli. RNAcentral describes it as "23S ribosomal RNA". It matches the Rfam family "Bacterial large subunit ribosomal RNA". Lineage: Bacteria; Pseudomonadati; Pseudomonadota; Gammaproteobacteria; Enterobacterales; Enterobacteriaceae. The record is from RNAcentral.